GACGAACGCUGGCGGCGUGCUUAACACAUGCAAGUCGAACGGAAAGGCCCUGCUUUUGUGGGGUGCUCGAGUGGCGAACGGGUGAGUAACACGUGAGUAACCUGCCCUUGACUUUGGGAUAACUUCAGGAAACUGGGGCUAAUACCGGAUAGGAGCUCCUGCUGCAUGGUGGGGGUUGGAAAGUUUCGGCGGUUGGGGAUGGACUCGCGGCUUAUCAGCUUGUUGGUGGGGUAGUGGCUUACCAAGGCUUUGACGGGUAGCCGGCCUGAGAGGGUGACCGGCCACAUUGGGACUGAGAUACGGCCAAGACUCAUACGGGAGGCAGCAGUGGGGAAUAUUGCAAAAAGGGCGGAAGCCGGAUGCAGCAACGCCGGGUGCGGGAUGACGGCCUUAGGGUUGUAAACCGCUUUCGCCUGUGACGAAGAGUGAGUGACGGUAAUGGGUAAAGAAGCACCGGCUAACUACGUG
This 468-nucleotide ribosomal RNA is filed under the name uncultured bacterium. RNAcentral's name for it is "partial 16S ribosomal RNA". It matches the Rfam family "Bacterial small subunit ribosomal RNA", at positions 28 to 507 of the family's 1533-position model. The record is from RNAcentral.